GGGUUGUGAGGUUAAGCGACUAAGCGUACACGGUGGAUGCCCUGGCAGUCAGAGGCGAUGAAGGACGUGCUAAUCUGCGAUAAGCGUCGGUAAGGUGAUAUGAACCGUUAUAACCGGCGAUUUCCGAAUGGGGAAACCCAGUGUGAUUCGUCACACUAUCAUUAACUGAAUCCAUAGGUUAAUGAGGCGAACCGGGGGAACUGAAACAUCUAAGUACCCCGAGGAAAAGAAAUCAACCGAGAUUCCCCCAGUAGCGGCGAGCGAACGGGGAGCAGCCCAGAGCCUGAAUCAGUGUGUGUGUUAGUGGAAGCGUCUGGAAAGGCGCGCGAUACAGGGUGACAGCCCCGUACACAAAAAUGCACAUACUGUGAGCUCGAUGAGUAGGGCGGGACACGUGGUAUCCUGUCUGAAUAUGGGGGGACCAUCCUCCAAGGCUAAAUACUCCUGACUGACCGAUAGUGAACCAGUACCGUGAGGGAAAGGCGAAAAGAACCCCGGCGAGGGGAGUGAAAAAGAACCUGAAACCGUGUACGUACAAGCAGUGGGAGCACAGAGCAAUCUGUGUGACUGCGUACCUUUUGUAUAAUGGGUCAGCGACUUAUAUUCUGUAGCAAGGUUAACCGAAUAGGGGAGCCGAAGGGAAACCGAGUCUUAACUGGGCGUUAAGUUGCAGGGUAUAGACCCGAAACCCGGUGAUCUAGCCAUGGGCAGGUUGAAGGUUGGGUAACACUAACUGGAGGACCGAACCGACUAAUGUUGAAAAAUUAGCGGAUGACUUGUGGCUGGGGGUGAAAGGCCAAUCAAACCGGGAGAUAGCUGGUUCUCCCCGAAAGCUAUUUAGGUAGCGCCUCGUGAAUUCAUCUCCGGGGGUAGAGCACUGUUUCGGCAAGGGGGUCAUCCCGACUUACCAACCCGAUGCAAACUGCGAAUACCGGAGAAUGUUAUCACGGGAGACACACGGCGGGUGCUAACGUCCGUCGUGAAGAGGGAAACAACCCAGACCGCCAGCUAAGGUCCCAAAGUCAUGGUUAAGUGGGAAACGAUGUGGGAAGGCCCAGACAGCCAGGAUGUUGGCUUAGAAGCAGCCAUCAUUUAAAGAAAGCGUAAUAGCUCACUGGUCGAGUCGGCCUGCGCGGAAGAUGUAACGGGGCUAAACCAUGCACCGAAGCUGCGGCAGCGACGCUUAUGCGUUGUUGGGUAGGGGAGCGUUCUGUAAGCCUGCGAAGGUGUGCUGUGAGGCAUGCUGGAGGUAUCAGAAGUGCGAAUGCUGACAUAAGUAACGAUAAAGCGGGUGAAAAGCCCGCUCGCCGGAAGACCAAGGGUUCCUGUCCAACGUUAAUCGGGGCAGGGUGAGUCGACCCCUAAGGCGAGGCCGAAAGGCGUAGUCGAUGGGAAACAGGUUAAUAUUCCUGUACUUGGUGUUACUGCGAAGGGGGGACGGAGAAGGCUAUGUUGGCCGGGCGACGGUUGUCCCGGUUUAAGCGUGUAGGCUGGUUUUCCAGGCAAAUCCGGAAAAUCAAGGCUGAGGCGUGAUGACGAGGCACUACGGUGCUGAAGCAACAAAUGCCCUGCUUCCAGGAAAAGCCUCUAAGCAUCAGGUAACAUCAAAUCGUACCCCAAACCGACACAGGUGGUCAGGUAGAGAAUACCAAGGCGCUUGAGAGAACUCGGGUGAAGGAACUAGGCAAAAUGGUGCCGUAACUUCGGGAGAAGGCACGCUGAUAUGUAGGUGAAGUCCCUCGCGGAUGGAGCUGAAAUCAGUCGAAGAUACCAGCUGGCUGCAACUGUUUAUUAAAAACACAGCACUGUGCAAACACGAAAGUGGACGUAUACGGUGUGACGCCUGCCCGGUGCCGGAAGGUUAAUUGAUGGGGUUAGCGCAAGCGAAGCUCUUGAUCGAAGCCCCGGUAAACGGCGGCCGUAACUAUAACGGUCCUAAGGUAGCGAAAUUCCUUGUCGGGUAAGUUCCGACCUGCACGAAUGGCGUAAUGAUGGCCAGGCUGUCUCCACCCGAGACUCAGUGAAAUUGAACUCGCUGUGAAGAUGCAGUGUACCCGCGGCAAGACGGAAAGACCCCGUGAACCUUUACUAUAGCUUGACACUGAACAUUGAGCCUUGAUGUGUAGGAUAGGUGGGAGGCUUUGAAGUGUGGACGCCAGUCUGCAUGGAGCCGACCUUGAAAUACCACCCUUUAAUGUUUGAUGUUCUAACGUUGACCCGUAAUCCGGGUUGCGGACAGUGUCUGGUGGGUAGUUUGACUGGGGCGGUCUCCUCCUAAAGAGUAACGGAGGAGCACGAAGGUUGGCUAAUCCUGGUCGGACAUCAGGAGGUUAGUGCAAUGGCAUAAGCCAGCUUGACUGCGAGCGUGACGGCGCGAGCAGGUGCGAAAGCAGGUCAUAGUGAUCCGGUGGUUCUGAAUGGAAGGGCCAUCGCUCAACGGAUAAAAGGUACUCCGGGGAUAACAGGCUGAUACCGCCCAAGAGUUCAUAUCGACGGCGGUGUUUGGCACCUCGAUGUCGGCUCAUCACAUCCUGGGGCUGAAGUAGGUCCCAAGGGUAUGGCUGUUCGCCAUUUAAAGUGGUACGCGAGCUGGGUUUAGAACGUCGUGAGACAGUUCGGUCCCUAUCUGCCGUGGGCGCUGGAGAACUGAGGGGGGCUGCUCCUAGUACGAGAGGACCGGAGUGGACGCAUCACUGGUGUUCGGGUUGUCAUGCCAAUGGCACUGCCCGGUAGCUAAAUGCGGAAGAGAUAAGUGCUGAAAGCAUCUAAGCACGAAACUUGCCCCGAGAUGAGUUCUCCCUGACUCCUUGAGAGUCCUGAAGGAACGUUGAAGACGACGACGUUGAUAGGCCGGGUGUGUAAGCGCAGCGAUGCGUUGAGCUAACCGGUACUAAUGAACCGUGAGGCUUAACCUUACAACGCCGAAG
This 2927-nucleotide ribosomal RNA is filed under the name Escherichia coli. Its description in RNAcentral is "bacterial LSU rRNA". It matches the Rfam family "Bacterial large subunit ribosomal RNA". The record is from RNAcentral. Lineage: Bacteria; Pseudomonadati; Pseudomonadota; Gammaproteobacteria; Enterobacterales; Enterobacteriaceae.